UCUCGGUGGUUCCGCGAUGCGCUGGUGGUUUCUACCCCCGUGCCAAAAUCUCCAUCAUCUCCGUCGAAAAAGACAUCGUCUCGUACUCCCCCGACGUCUCCCUGUUCCCCCUCAGUGCGAUGCAGAACGUCCAUGGCUGUGAUGGGACACGAGAAUCUUUCCGUGAUUGUGGCGGAGACCGGGUGGCCUAGCUCUGGGAUUGAUUCUGGCGAAGACGACGCGACGUUGCUGUAUAGCAAGAUGUUCUUGAAAGGUUUGUUGGCGCAUUUGAGGAGCGGUGGUGGGACGAAGAUGGUGGUGGUGGAGGGAAAGGAAGAAGAUUGAUGGAGGUUUUGAGUUCUCGGGUGGUGGUGGAGGGAAAGGAAGAAGAUUGGUGGAGGUUUUGGUUGGGUUCUUGGUGGGGGUGGUGAUGCUUUAUCUGUUGGUGUAAACGAGAGCCAUGUCUCUGCUCUCAGAUCUCGUCAACCUCAACCUCUCCGACUCCACCAAGCAAAUCAUUGCCGAAUACAUAUGGAUCGGUGGAUCUAGAAUGGACAUUAGAAGCAAAGCCAGGGUAAGUUGAUACUCUGUUUAUGCAUCCUCUGUUUAUUUUUUAUUUUUGUUCCUUUUGUGAUCAAUCUGAUUUGUUUUGGUUAUACAGACACUCUGUUCAUACAACAACGACAAAAGAAAACAUUCACAGACACACACACAUGCACAAGU
Molecule: long non-coding RNA, 702 nt
Organism: Brassica oleracea var. oleracea
Lineage: Eukaryota; Viridiplantae; Streptophyta; Magnoliopsida; Brassicales; Brassicaceae
Exons: 3
Source: RefSeq, a predicted model, not a curated record